Molecule: long non-coding RNA, 388 nt
Organism: Zophobas morio
Lineage: Eukaryota; Metazoa; Arthropoda; Insecta; Coleoptera; Tenebrionidae
Exons: 4
Source: RefSeq, a predicted model, not a curated record
AGGUGGAAUGAUUUCUUUUCAAUUGGUCUCUCUUUUAUACUUAGUGGCCUCACUGCUGUGUAAUUACUGGUAUUGGUAUGUUGACCUAGUCUGUUUGCAAAAAGAAGUCGUGGAAGAUCUUAUAGCCGAUUAUGAACUGUUUGAGGACAAUUUGGGUGGAGAUCACAUUAAGCGUCAUUCUCACUUUACAAUUAAGUCGCUUUUCCCCUUGGGCAGAGACAACAGUUUUUUACACUGGAAAAAAAAAACUCUACACUUUUAAUCGAUGUGAAAAAUGUCGCCAAAAAAACUAUUUUUACCGUUGAAGCAAUCCAAGCUUCCCUUAGGCAUCCUUUAUACUGGUCUUUUGAGAUCGCACAACGUACAAUUACCACAGGAGGCUUCCUGA